GCUAGUUGGUGGGGUAAAGGCCUACCAAGGCGACGAUCUGUAGUGGUCUGAGAGGAUGAUCAUCCACACCGGGAUUUAGACACGGCCCGGAUUCUACGGGAGGCAGCAGUGGGGAAUAUUGGACAAUGGGGGCAACCGUGAUCCAGCCAUGCCGCGUGUGUGAAGAAGGCUUUCGGGUUGUAAAGCACUUUCAGUGAGGGAGGAAAUGGUGGCGGCUAAUACCCGUUACAAUUGACGUUACUCACAGAAGAAGCACCGGCUAACUCCGUGCCAGCAGCCGCGGUAAUACGGAGGGUGCAAGCGUUAAUCGGAAUUACUGGGCGUAAAGCGCGCGUAGGCGGCUAAAUCAGUCGGGUGUGAAAGCCCCGGGCUCAACCUGGGAACUGCAUUCGAUACUGUUUAGCUAGAGUAUGGGAGAGGGUAGUGGAAUUCCACGUGUAGCGGUGAAAUGCGUAGAUAUGUGGAGGAACACCCGUGGCGAAGGCGACUGCCUGGCCCAAUACUGACGCUGAGGUGCGAAAGCGUGGGUAGCGAACAGGAUUAGAUACCCUGGUAGUCCACGCCGUAAACGAUGUCAACUAGCCGUUGGAGGACUUGAUCUUUUAGUGGCGCAGCUAACGCGAUAAGUUGACCGCCUGGGGAGUACGGCCGCAAGGUUAAAACUCAAAUGAA
RNAcentral lists this ribosomal RNA (672 nucleotides) under uncultured Gammaproteobacteria bacterium. RNAcentral's name for it is "bacterial SSU rRNA". It matches the Rfam family "Bacterial small subunit ribosomal RNA", at positions 244 to 909 of the family's 1533-position model. The record is from RNAcentral. Lineage: Bacteria; Pseudomonadati; Pseudomonadota; Gammaproteobacteria.